CGGCAAUAAAGUAAAUUCAACAACAAGCUUGCAAGCAAGCUAACUCGAUCCAAAUGUUUUAAUUCAAUGCUAAAACAAGUCGAAUAAUAACCAAGAGAUUAGCCACACUGGGACUGAGACACAGCCUAUACUCCUACGGGAGGCAACGUGGGGAAUUUUUCGCAAUGGGCGAAAGCCUGAUUUA
This 184-nucleotide ribosomal RNA is filed under the name Olea europaea subsp. europaea. Its description in RNAcentral is "SSU_rRNA_bacteria". The record is from RNAcentral. Lineage: Eukaryota; Viridiplantae; Streptophyta; Magnoliopsida; Lamiales; Oleaceae.